GGCCGGGCUACCCAGGGGCCAGGGGAGGGCCAGGAAGGAGUCACAGCGUAGGAAGUGUGCCUCAGCGUUUAUAAACAUGGUCCUCAGGGUCACCCUUUACAUAGAUACAGGACUACUGACAAAGAGAAUUUGACUCUGGUUCGUUUUAAACUUUAGUAACCUAAGAGAUUACUCYUUUUGAGGCUUCAGCACUUUGUGAGAGAGCACCAAGAGAGCUUUUGAGGGAGGGAAAUUCCCCUGAGAAACCAAAGAGACCUCCAUUGACUUMUCAAUACCCUCGUCUUGACCACACCGACAUCCAGCAGAGAUGUACAGCAGCAACAGCUACUCACAGGCCAAGUUUGGCCUGGAGGCCAAGGACAUCCACAAYCCAAAGGGAAAGAGCUGCGGCUAUUACAUGAGGGUGGUCUUCUUCUUCUCCUCUCUGAUCCAGUCCCUCAUCAUCGUGAGCCUGGUGCUGUUCCUGGUCUACGGCCAGCCAGAGAAGUCUGCUGAAGAGAGGAGAGUAGAGGAGCUGGAGCAGAGUUUGAACAGGAUCAGCGAGAACAACAUUAACCUGAGGAAGGAUAAAUCUGACCUGGGAGCUGCGCUGGGGGCCAGGAAGGCUGAGAAGACAGCCCUGGAGGGAGAGGUGGCCCUGCUGAAGAAAGCAGCUAAUGCCUCCGGGGAGCAGAUCAAAGCCCUCAUACUGAAAGCGAGCCAGUGUGAAGCAGACAAGAAGAAAAUAGAGAUGAGCCGUGCRACCCAUGUCCGGGUUCCCACCACCUCUUUUCAAAACCCUUUCAUCGUCGCCACUGCUAACACCGAGGUAAAAACCCUCCAGUCUCUGAACUCCCAGCAGGCAGCAAUGAUCAAACUGAUCAAAGCCAACUUCACCCAGACCAGCCAGUACAUCCGCAUCGAGAGGGACAAUGCCAUCAAGGACCGUGACGCCCACAACCUUGAGACCAUCUCUUUGCGGAGGGAGAACAACAACCUGAAGGAACACCUGACACUCUACACCCAGAAGUGUAAAGAGGACUUUGCCAAGUCUCUGGAGGGGAUCCAAAUGGUGACCAGUAACUUCCUGGUGCGCAUCGACAACCUGUUCCCCCACUCCAUGACCUUUCACCUGACCUGUGAGAAGCAGACAGAGCAGAUGUUGAACAUCAGGGCCAGAUGCUCCAACCUGUCUAAAGAGGUUGAGGACAAGUUCCAGAAAUACCUGGACAARGUGGGGAACAAGGUGGCAAACAUCCAGGCCCAGUCCAGUAGCCUGGAGGUCCAGAACAGCCAUCUGACCCUUGACCUCCAGCAGUGUCGUCAAAACCGCAGCGUGACGGCGGCGGAGGGCAGCAGGCUGCUGCUAGAGAUCCGGGAGAACCACGACAGGCAGGUAGAGACCCUGCUGAAGGAACAGAACCGGUUGAGGGAGGAGAAGAGCCUGCAGGGAGAGAGACUGGUUCUGAAGGAGGCUGAGGUCAAAACACUCAACGGGAAUGUCGAGUCACUCACCAGCGCUCUYACCAACUGUAACCCAAAGCCUACUGGACUGAUGUCAGCCUUGAAAGGGGGGCAUCAAUGCAGCUCGCGACCCAAAGCCUACUGGACUGAUGUCAGCCUUGAAGGGGGGGCCACAAUGGAACUCGCCGACAAAAGCCUACUGACUGAUGUCAGCCUUGAAGGGGGGCCAUCAAUGGAACUCUCCGACCAAAGCUACUGGACUGAUGUCAGCCGUGAAGGGGGCCAUCAAUGCAGCUCGCCGGCCCCAAAGCCUACUGGACUGAUGUCAGCCUUUGAAGGGGGGGCAUCAAUGCAACUCGCCGGCUCAAAGCCUACUGGACUGAUGUCAGCCUUGAAGGGGGGCCAUCAAUGGAAAUCGCCGGCCCAAAGCCUACUGGACUGAUGUCAGCCUUGAAGGGGGGCCAUCAUGGAACUCGCCGGCCCAAAGCCUAUGGACUGAUGUCAGCCUUGAAGGGGGGCCAUCAAUGCAGCUCGCCGGCCCAAAGCCUACUGGACUGAUGUCAGCCUUGAAGGGGGGGCCAUCCAUUGCGCACCAGUGAUCAGUAAACCCCACCUGGUGAGGUGAGGAGAGACGGGUGUGAGGAAGAUGCCCCACUCACACAGCUCUACCUAGGCCAUGACAGAGUGAGACAAUGAAAGCACUUACUGUUAUGGUCCCUGGAGAAUUGGGCGUGGUGCCUUUCAGUGAUCAAUGUGUGCUCUUAGACCUUAAAAUGUCCAUGUGUAAAUACUGCAGACACACUAUAGGUUGUAUCUACUGUUCUACAUCAUGUACACUGAACAAAAAUAUCCUUGCAACAUGUGAAGGUGUUGGUGCCAUUUUUCAUGAGCUGAAAUAAAAGAUCUCAGAAAUGUUC
This is a non-coding RNA of Salvelinus sp. IW2-2015, 2360 nucleotides long. Lineage: Eukaryota; Metazoa; Chordata; Actinopteri; Salmoniformes; Salmonidae. The record is from RefSeq and is a predicted model, not a curated record.